ACCAUUGCCGCGGCCCUAAACAUGCAAGUCGAGCGGAAACGAGUUAUCUGAACCUUCGGGGAACGAUAACGGCGUCGAGCGGCGGACGGGUGAGUAAUGCCUAGGAAAUUGCCCUGAUGUGGGGGAUAACCAUUGGAAACGAUGGCUAAUACCGCAUGAUGCCUACGGGCCAAAGAGGGGGACCUUCGGGCCUCUCGCGUCAGGAUAUGCCUAGGUGGGAUUAGCUAGUUGGUGAGGUAAGGGCUCACCAAGGCGACGAUCCCUAGCUGGUCUGAGAGGAUGAUCAGCCACACUGGAACUGAGACACGGUCCAGACUCCUACGGGAGGCAGCAGUGGGGAAUAUUGCACAAUGGGCGCAAGCCUGAUGCAGCCAUGCCGCGUGUGUGAAGAAGGCCUUCGGGUUGUAAAGCACUUUCAGUCGUGAGGAAGGUGGUGUUGUUAAUAGCUGCAUUAUUUGACGUUAGCGACAGAAGAAGCACCGGCUAACUCCGUGCCAGCAGCCGCGGUAAUACGGAGGGUGCGAGCGUUAAUCGGAAUUACUGGGCGUAAAGCGCAUGCAGGUGGUUUGUUAAGUCAGAUGUGAAAGCCCGGGGCUCAACCUCGGAAUAGCAUUUGAAACUGGCAGACUAGAGUACUGUAGAGGGGGGUAGAAUUUCAGGUGUAGCGGUGAAAUGCGUAGAGAUCUGAAGGAAUACCGGUGGCGAAGGCGGCCCCCUGGACAGAUACUGACACUCAGAUGCGAAAGCGUGGGGAGCAAACAGGAUUAGAUACCCUGGUAGUCCACGCCGUAAACGAUGUCUACUUGGAGGUUGUGGCCUUGAGCCGUGGCUUUCGGAGCUAACGCGUUAAGUAGACCGCCUGGGGAGUACGGUCGCAAGAUUAAAACUCAAAUGAAUUGACGGGGGCCCGCACAAGCGGUGGAGCAUGUGGUUUAAUUCGAUGCAACGCGAAGAACCUUACCUACUCUUGACAUCCAGAGAACUUUCCAGAGAUGGAUUGGUGCCUUCGGGAACUCUGAGACAGGUGCUGCAUGGCUGUCGUCAGCUCGUGUUGUGAAAUGUUGGGUUAAGUCCCGCAACGAGCGCAACCCUUAUCCUUGUUUGCCAGCGAGUAAUGUCGGGAACUCCAGGGAGACUGCCGGUGAUAAACCGGAGGAAGGUGGGGACGACGUCAAGUCAUCAUGGCCCUUACGAGUAGGGCUACACACGUGCUACAAUGGCGCAUACAGAGGGCGGCCAACUUGCGAAAGUGAGCGAAUCCCAAAAAGUGCGUCGUAGUCCGGAUUGGAGUCUGCAACUCGACUCCAUGAAGUCGGAAUCGCUAGUAAUCGUGGAUCAGAAUGCCACGGUGAAUACGUUCCCGGGCCUUGUACACACCGCCCGUCACACCAUGGGAGUGGGCUGCAAAAGAAGUAGGUAGUUUAACCUUCGGGGGGACGCUUACCACUUUUGGGUACGAGGGGGG
This 1465-nucleotide ribosomal RNA is filed under the name Vibrio sp. RNAcentral's name for it is "bacterial SSU rRNA". It matches the Rfam family "Bacterial small subunit ribosomal RNA". The record is from RNAcentral. Lineage: Bacteria; Pseudomonadati; Pseudomonadota; Gammaproteobacteria; Vibrionales; Vibrionaceae.